Molecule: ribosomal RNA, 573 nt
Filed under: uncultured bacterium
Lineage: Bacteria
Description: partial 16S ribosomal RNA
Rfam family: Bacterial small subunit ribosomal RNA
Source: RNAcentral
UGGGGAAUUUUGGACAAUGGGCGAAAGCCUGAUCCAGCAAUGCCGCGUGUGUGAAGAAGGCCUUCGGGUUGUAAAGCACUUUUGUCCGGAAAGAAAUCCUUGGCUCUAAUACAGUCGGGGGAUGACGGUACCGGAAGAAUAAGCACCGGCUAACUACGUGCCAGCAGCCGCGGUAAUACGUAGGGUGCAAGCGUUAAUCGGAAUUACUGGGCGUAAAGCGUGCGCAGGCGGUUUGCUAAGACCGAUGUGAAAUCCCCGGGCUCAACCUGGGAACUGCAUUGGUGACUGGCAGGCUAGAGUAUGGCAGAGGGGGGUAGAAUUCCACGUGUAGCAGUGAAAUGCGUAGAGAUGUGGAGGAAUACCGAUGGCGAAGGCAGCCCCCUGGGCCAAUACUGACGCUCAUGCACGAAAGCGUGGGGAGCAAACAGGAUUAGAUACCCUGGUAGUCCACGCCCUAAACGAUGUCAACUAGUUGUGGGGAUUCAUUCCUUAGUAACGUAGCUAACGCGUGAAGUUGACCGCCUGGGGAGUACGGUCGCAAGAUUAAAACUUAAAGGAAUUGACGGGGUCAUA